GGGAUCGUACCUGCUCAUGGGUGUAUUUUCUGAAUAGCCGCAGUAAUUUGACUGUGCGAAGGUAGCAUAGUAAUUUGCCCUUUAAUUGGGGGCUGGUAUGAAUGGUUUGAUGAGGAAGUUUUUGUCUCUUUUAUAUUUUUUGGAAAUUUACUUUUAAGUGAAGAGGCUUAAUUUUUAUUAAAAGACAAGAAGACCCUAUCGAGCUUAAGAUUUAAGAGAUUUUGAAUAUUGACUAUAUUAAAAGUAUAAUAUUAAUGUUUUUUAGUUUUUGAUUGGGGCGAUUAAAAGUUAUGAUUAACACUUUUUGUUUUUUAAAUUUGUGUUUUGAUCCAGGAUUAUUACUGAUUAACAGAAUAAGUUACCGUAGGGAUAACAGCAUAAUUUUUUUGAAGAGUACAUAUUGUUAAGAAAGUUUGUGACCUCGAUGUUGGAUCAAAAUUUCCUAUAGGUGCAGUAGUUUAUAAGGGUUGGUCUGUUCGACUAUNAAAAUUUUA
Molecule: ribosomal RNA, 494 nt
Filed under: Hydroginella sp. MNHN-IM-2013-50680
Lineage: Eukaryota; Metazoa; Mollusca; Gastropoda; Neogastropoda; Marginellidae
Description: partial 16S ribosomal RNA
Rfam family: Bacterial large subunit ribosomal RNA
Source: RNAcentral